GCAGUGGUCUCUCCCGCGCCUGCGCGUCGCAGGCCGAGGGGCCGCGCCAGGGAAGUACCAGCUCCUGGCGGAGGACGGUGAGCGUGUCGGUGGGGUGGAGAGCGUUCUCCUGCCGGUUAGCCUCUGCUGUGCUCCAGCGCCCUUGGCAGGGUCGCCUGCAGCGCUGGGCCUGCCCUUGGCCACGCUACUUCCCGCGGCAGUGGCACCGGUGUCCUCCUCCGGCCAUAUUCAGUUAGAGCUCUUGGCACAGGUUGUUGCCUGUUUCCCAAUAACAGGUCUUUUGGGACCCCCUGUGUUCUGUAGAGCCAAGGGGAUCCUUCGACUCUUCAAGAGUCCUGUGCCCCUCGCAGCUAUAUGGCCUCUUACAAAUGAAGAUGGAAUCUGUCCGGCAUGUUGAAAUUGUUGACCAGAAUGCAAAGAGGACACAGGUCCCUGAACUUUAAUAUUAGAAGUCUGGAAUGCAGAUGGAAAGGGCCCUAAUGUCUGGGACACAUUCACCCAUCAGGGAGGAGAUGGAGUUUUCAGGAACC
Long non-coding RNA from Pogoniulus pusillus (Red-fronted tinkerbird), 530 nucleotides. RefSeq lists it as uncharacterized. NCBI's taxonomy places the organism in Eukaryota, Metazoa, Chordata, Aves, Piciformes, Lybiidae. The transcript is spliced from 3 exons. The record is from RefSeq and is a predicted model, not a curated record.